CGGACAAAAGCUACGCUAGGGAUAACAGGCUUAUGCGGGCAGAGAGUUCACAUCGAAUCCCGCGUUUGGCACCUCGAUGUUGGAUCAUCGCGUCCUGGGGCUUCAGAAGGUCCCGAGGGUUGGAUUGUUCAUCCAUGAAAGCGGUACGUGAUCUGAGUUCAGAACGUCGUGAGACAGUUCGGUUUCUAUCUAUGUCAGCGAGGAAGAGUUGCUACAGGGGUGUUAGUACGAAAGGACCAAACGCCCCCGAACCUCUGGUGCACCUGUUGCGGAAGCGCGCAUCGCAGGGCAGCUAAGUU
RNAcentral lists this ribosomal RNA (299 nucleotides) under Leontynka pallida. Its description in RNAcentral is "large subunit ribosomal RNA". It matches the Rfam family "Bacterial large subunit ribosomal RNA", at positions 2453 to 2755 of the family's 2925-position model. Lineage: Eukaryota; Viridiplantae; Chlorophyta; Chlorophyceae; Chlamydomonadales. The record is from RNAcentral.